RNAcentral lists this ribosomal RNA (253 nucleotides) under uncultured bacterium. RNAcentral describes it as "partial 16S ribosomal RNA". It matches the Rfam family "Bacterial small subunit ribosomal RNA", at positions 524 to 776 of the family's 1533-position model. The record is from RNAcentral.
UACGAAGGGGGCUAGCGUUGCUCGGAAUCACUGGGCGUAAAGCGCACGUAGGCGGCUUUCUAAGUCAGGGGUGAAAUCCAGGAGCUCAACUCCUGAACUGCCUUUGAUACUGGAGAGCUUGAGAUCGGGAGAGGUGAGUGGAACUGCGAGUGUAGAGGUGAAAUUCGUAGAUAUUCGCAAGAACACCAGUGGCGAAGGCGGCUCACUGGCCCGAUACUGACGCUGAGGUGCGAAAGCGUGGGGAGCAAACAGG